AGUUGAGCGAGAUAAGUUGUAGCAAUACGGCUUUGAAAGCGGCGCACGGGUGCGUAACACGUAUGCAACCUACCUUUUACUAAGGAAUAGCCUCUCGAAAGAGAGAUUAAUACCUUAUAACAUGUUUUGAAGGCAUCUUCAGAACCUUAAAGCUCCGGCGGUAAAAGAUGGGCAUGCGGUUGAUUAGCUAGUUGGUGAGGUAAUGGCUCACCAAGGCUUCGAUCAAUAGGGGGUCUGAGAGGAUGUCCCCCCACACUGGUACUGAGACACGGACCAGACUCCUACGGGAGGCAGCAGUAGGGAAUAUUGGACAAUGGGCGCAAGCCUGAUCCAGCCAUGCCGCGUGCAGGAUGAAGGCCCUAUGGGUCGUAAACUGCUUUUGUACGGGAAGAAACCUCACUACGUGUAGUGAGUUGACGGUACCGUGAGAAUAAGGAUCGGCUAACUUCGUGCCAGCAGCCGCGGUAAUACGAAGGAUCCAAGCGUUGUCCGGAUUUACUGGGUUUAAAGGGUGCGUAGGCGGACUUUUAAGUCAGUGGUGAAAGCUCGCAGCUUAACUGUGAAAUUGCCAUUGAAACUGAAAGUCUCGAGUGUGGUUGAG
RNAcentral lists this ribosomal RNA (601 nucleotides) under uncultured Bacteroidota bacterium. RNAcentral's name for it is "bacterial SSU rRNA". It matches the Rfam family "Bacterial small subunit ribosomal RNA", at positions 60 to 656 of the family's 1533-position model. Lineage: Bacteria; Pseudomonadati; Bacteroidota. The record is from RNAcentral.